Thunnus maccoyii (southern bluefin tuna) is the source of this 1645-nucleotide long non-coding RNA. RefSeq lists it as uncharacterized. The transcript is spliced from 4 exons. The record is from RefSeq and is a predicted model, not a curated record. NCBI's taxonomy places the organism in Eukaryota, Metazoa, Chordata, Actinopteri, Scombriformes, Scombridae.
CAGCUGCUGAGGCGUCAAUAGAUGGAUGGGACAGCAGAGAGUAAGAGCUUAAUGUCUCGAGAUGUGUGAAGAGUUUUUAAUUCAAAGCAUAAAAAAACUACAGAAGAAAGUUCCCCAAGUUCUCAUUUUGUUUUUACUGCCGAUAAAAGAAGCAGAAUAUGAAGAAAUCUCUCAGGUUUCUUGUUUUAGUGUCUCAAUGUUAACAGAAAAACUAUCUGAGGAUGUGAACACGUGUCUGGACUAUUACUGCUAUUUUAUUUUAAUUAAUUCAUGGAGUCUAAUUUCUUAAUUUGAAAGCAAAGUUUAGUGAUUCAGGAUCAAGUAAAUUAUGAAUGAAUUUGUAUUACUAAUUGAAAAACAAAUUAUAAAUUCAAGAACAUGAAUUAAGUCACUUUAGGGCACAAAUUAAGUAAUUUGAGAGUUUGAAAGCAAAGAGUUACUAAUUCAAGAGCACAAACCACAAACCGUCUUUCCUCAGAGGCCUCCCCACUAAUUACUAAUUAGAAAAAACUGAUUGAUUGAUUCAAGAGCAUGAAAGAGUCAUUUGAGAGCAUGAAUUAUUAAUUAAUUACGUGUACAGCCAGUCAGUCGAUCUCAACAACGACUGGAUGGAUUGUGAUGAUAUUUUGCUCAGACAUUCAUGUUUCUAAGAGUUUGGAUCUUAAUCAUUUUGGUGAUGCCUGUAGCACCACGAGGUUCAUAUUAUUGGAUGGAUCGCUGUUAAAUUUGGUGCACGUGUUCGUGUCCAUCUCAGGAUGAGUUGUAGUAAUGUUGGAGAUCAAAAUCCUGAUUUGUCCGAUACUUUUGUUUAUAACCAAGUUCCUGUAAACAUGGUAGAUAUAAUAUUUCUAAAUGUUAGCAUGUUGUUGCAGUCAGCUCAGUGUUAUAGCUAACUGCUGUAACUUCAUGUUAACUGUUUUCAUGUUUAAUGAGCCUCAGAACGAACAUCAGUCAACAUAGAGUCGAUGAAUCGAUUGUCAACUAUUAAAACAUUUUAUGGAUCGAGCAACUAAACUACAGUCACACAGUGAAGCCCAGUGUGACUUUAUGACAACAUAACCUUUAAACAGGCGGGAGACUGGAGGUGCUUUUCAAUCAGCAAUUACCUGAGUCAGUUCUGUCCGAACCUGCAGGCGGCCUGAUCGAUCGAUGUGUCUCUGCAGAUCAGAGCGACGCUCAGCUGUCGGCUCCCAGUUUCCCAUCCUGCCCUGGACGGUAGAUAAAUACAUUUACUCAAGAUCAGAGAUUCUCCCUGUAAUCUCCCGCCGCCUGCUUGUGCGACUUUUCGGGACAACAUGGCCGCUGCCGGAGUCGGAGAUGAUGGAGAAACAACAGAAGUUUGAAAUCCUCCUGGUGUGGCAACGUUUUGCCUUCCUUGAGGAAGACAACGAGCUACAACCUGAUCUUCACCACAACGAGACGUCGUCCCCGCCGGACUGAUGACGUCUGGGAGACGUGUCCUCAGGGUUCGUCUGCGAAGUGCAACACGACUUAAACCCACCAGGAUUAACUCAAGCUGUUGUUGUAAAUGAUCCUUCUGCCAUCUUCUGGCUCUUCUCUUUGUUUUUGUGUUGAACAUUUGGUUCCCGAUUGGCUGCUGAAAUAAAUUAUUGUUCUUACAUUUAAAUAAAUAAUUUAAAUUUGA